CCUACGGGUGGCUGCAGUGAGGAAUAUUGGUCAAUGGCCGAGAGGCUGAACCAGCCAAGUCGCGUGAGGGAAGACGGCCCUAUGGGUUGUAAACCUCUUUUGUCGGGGAGCAAAGCGAGUCACGUGUGACUCAUUGCGAGUACUCGAAGAAAAAGCAUCGGCUAACUCCGUGCCAGCAGCCGCGGUAAUACGGAGGAAGCGAGCGUUAUCCGGAUUUAUUGGGUUUAAAGGGGUCGUAGGUGGAGUGGGAAGUCAGGAGUGAAAAUUCGGGGCUCAACCCCGUAACUGCCAUUGAUACUGCAAGCCUGGAGUGCGGGAGAGGUAGGCGGAAUGCGUGGUGUAGCGGUGAAAUGCUGAGAUAUCACGAAGAACCCCGAUUGCGAAGGCAGCAUAC
Molecule: ribosomal RNA, 394 nt
Filed under: uncultured bacterium
Lineage: Bacteria
Description: partial 16S ribosomal RNA
Rfam family: Bacterial small subunit ribosomal RNA
Source: RNAcentral